Molecule: transfer RNA, 85 nt
Filed under: Cyanobacteria bacterium UBA8156
Lineage: Bacteria; Bacillati; Cyanobacteriota
Also listed under: 2 other names
Description: tRNA-Ser
Rfam family: tRNA
About the family: Transfer RNA (tRNA) molecules are approximately 80 nucleotides in length. Their secondary structure includes four short double-helical elements and three loops (D, anti-codon, and T loops). Further hydrogen bonds mediate the characteristic L-shaped molecular structure. tRNAs have two regions of fundamental functional importance: the anti-codon, which is responsible for specific mRNA codon recognition, and the 3' end, to which the tRNAs corresponding amino acid is attached (by aminoacyl-tRNA synthetases). tRNAs cope with the degeneracy of the genetic code in two manners: having more than one tRNA (with a specific anti-codon) for a particular amino acid; and 'wobble' base-pairing, i.e. permitting non-standard base-pairing at the 3rd anti-codon position.
Source: RNAcentral
GGAGAGAUGGCAGAGUGGUCGAUUGCGCUCGACUUGAAAUCGAGUGACUGUCACAGGUCCGUGGGUUCGAAUCCCACUCUCUCCG